UACGUAGGGUGCAAGCGUUAAUCGGAAUUACUGGGCGUAAAGCGUGCGCAGGCGGUUGUGCAAGACCGAUGUGAAAUCCCCGGGCUUAACCUGGGAACUGCAUUUGUGACUGCAUCGCUGGAGUGCGGCAGAGGGGGAUGGAAUUCCGCGUGUAGCAGUGAAAUGCGUAGAUAUGCGGAGGAACACCGAUGGCGAAGGCAAUCCCCUGGGCCUGCACUGACGCUCAUGCACGAAAGCGUGGGGAGCAAACAGG
This 253-nucleotide ribosomal RNA is filed under the name uncultured bacterium. RNAcentral describes it as "partial 16S ribosomal RNA". It matches the Rfam family "Bacterial small subunit ribosomal RNA", at positions 524 to 776 of the family's 1533-position model. The record is from RNAcentral.